CAGUCGCCGCGGUAAUACAGAGGGUGCGAGCGUUAAUCGGAUUUACUGGGCGUAAAGCGUGCGUAGGCGGUUAAUUGAGUCGGAUGUGAAAUCCCCGAGCUUAACUUGGGAAUUGCAUUCGAUACUGGUUAGCUAGAGUGUGGGAGAGGAUGGUAGAAUUCCAGGUGUAGCGGUGAAAUGCGUAGAGAUCUGGAGGAAUACCGAUGGCGAAGGCAGCCAUCUGGCCUAACACUGACGCUGAGGUACGAAAGCAUGGGGAGCAAACAGGAUUAGAGACCCGGGUAGUCCCUGUCUCUUAUAC
Molecule: ribosomal RNA, 301 nt
Filed under: uncultured bacterium
Lineage: Bacteria
Description: partial 16S ribosomal RNA
Rfam family: Bacterial small subunit ribosomal RNA
Source: RNAcentral